This 473-nucleotide ribosomal RNA is filed under the name Onychoteuthis compacta. RNAcentral describes it as "partial 16S ribosomal RNA". It matches the Rfam family "Bacterial large subunit ribosomal RNA", at positions 1845 to 2578 of the family's 2925-position model. The record is from RNAcentral. Lineage: Eukaryota; Metazoa; Mollusca; Cephalopoda; Oegopsida; Onychoteuthidae.
AUAGAGAGUUGGGCCUGCUCGGUGAAUAAAUUGUUUUAACAGCUGCGGUAUUUUAACUGUACUAAGGUAGCAUAAUAAUUUGCCUUAUAAUUUGAGGCUAGAAUGAAUGGUUUGACGAAGGUUAAUCUGUCUCUACUUUAUUUUUUAGAAUUUAAUUUUCAUAGUGAAAAAGCUUGAAUUUUUUAAAGGGACGAGAAGACCCUAUUGAGCUUAUAAUUUUAUUACUGGUUCAUUAAAAUAUAAAAGAAAGGUAUAUAAAUUUUAAUUGGGGUGAUUAAGGAAUAAAGAUAAUUAGUAACUUCCUUAUAAAGAAUAUUGUUGAAUAAAGUAACCAAUAUAAUAUUGCUUAUAAUAUAGUUACCAUAGGGAUAACAGCGUAAUUUGUUUAGAGAGUUCUUAUUGAAAAACAAGAUUGCGACCUCGAUGUUGGAUUAAAGUAACCUUAAGGUGCAGAAGCUUUAUUAGGUAAAUCG